GGAUAAGAGCUGCUCAUAUUUAUGGA
RNAcentral lists this non-coding RNA (26 nucleotides) under Mus musculus (house mouse). Lineage: Eukaryota; Metazoa; Chordata; Mammalia; Rodentia; Muridae. The record is from RNAcentral.